Molecule: ribosomal RNA, 253 nt
Filed under: uncultured bacterium
Lineage: Bacteria
Description: partial 16S ribosomal RNA
Rfam family: Bacterial small subunit ribosomal RNA
Source: RNAcentral
UACGGAGGGGGCUAGCGUUGUUCGGAAUGACUGGGCGUAAAGCGCGCGUAGGCGGAUUGGCAAGUUGGGGGUGAAAUCCCGGGGCUCAACCUCGGAAUGGCCUUCAAGACUGCUGGUCUUGAGUUCGAGAGAGGUGAGUGGAAUUCCGAGUGUAGAGGUGAAAUUCGUAGAUAUUCGGAGGAACACCAGUGGCGAAGGCGGCUCACUGGCUCAUUACUGACGCUGAGGCUCGAAAGCGUGGGGAGCAAACAGG